GAUGAACGCUAGCGAUAGGCCUAACACAUGCAAGUCGAGGGGCAUCACAUGAAGUAGCAAUACGGAUGGUGGCGACCGGCGCACGGGUGAGUAAUACGUAUGCAACCUGCCUUCAACAAGGGGAUAACCCGUUGAAAGACGGACUAAUACCCUAUAACACAGGGGUCCCGCAUGGGAAUAUUUGUUAAAGGACAACCGGUUGAAGAUGGGCAUGCGUUCCAUUAGCUAGUUGGCGGGGUAACGGCCCACCAAGGCAACGAUGGAUAGGGGAACUGAGAGGUUUAUCCCCCACACUGGUACUGAGACACGGACCAGACUCCUACGGGAGGCAGCAGUGAGGAAUAUUGGUCAAUGGACGCAAGUCUGAACCAGCCACGUCGCGUGAAGGAAGACGGCCCUACGGGUUGUAAACUUCUUUUAUACGGGAAUAAAGUGCCCCACGCGUGGGGUUUUGCAUGUACCGUAUGAAUAAGGAUCGGCUAACUCCGUGCCAGCAGCCGCGGUAAGUACUGACU
RNAcentral lists this ribosomal RNA (515 nucleotides) under uncultured bacterium. RNAcentral describes it as "bacterial SSU rRNA". It matches the Rfam family "Bacterial small subunit ribosomal RNA", at positions 28 to 531 of the family's 1533-position model. The record is from RNAcentral.